AUUCCAGAGGUGGCGCCUCCCAGCGUCACUCCGGCAGCAAGCGAAGGUGUCGUUGGCACCCGUGGUAUAGUCCCCCCGGCUAUACCACGAUAUUUUUUU
RNAcentral lists this non-coding RNA (99 nucleotides) under Vibrio nereis. RNAcentral's name for it is "Translational regulator of tfoXVC". It matches the Rfam family "Translational regulator of tfoXVC". The record is from Rfam by way of RNAcentral. Lineage: Bacteria; Pseudomonadati; Pseudomonadota; Gammaproteobacteria; Vibrionales; Vibrionaceae.